RNAcentral lists this ribosomal RNA (465 nucleotides) under uncultured bacterium. Its description in RNAcentral is "partial 16S ribosomal RNA". It matches the Rfam family "Bacterial small subunit ribosomal RNA", at positions 28 to 507 of the family's 1533-position model. The record is from RNAcentral.
GACGAACGCUGGCGGCGUGCUUAACACAUGCAAGUCGAACGGUAAGGCCCUUUCGGGGGUCCACGAGUGGCGAACGGGGGAGUAACACGUGAGUAACCUGCCCACAACUUUGGGAUAACGCUAGGAAACUGGUGCUAAUACUGGAAAUGUGCUCCUGCUGCAUGGGGGGGGUUGGAAAGCUCCGGCGGUUGUGGAUGGACUCGCGGCCUAUCAGCUUGCUGGUGGGGUAGUGGCCUACCAAGGCGGCUGCGGGUAGCCGGCCUGAGGGGGUGACCGGCCACCUUGGGACUGAGAUACGGCCCCGACACCGACGGGUGGGCGAAGUGGGGAAUCUUGCCCAAUGGGCGCCAGCCUGAUGCAGCAACGCCGCGUGCGGGAUGACGGCCUUAGGGUUGUAAAACGCUUUCAGCAGGGACGAAGCAUUUUGUGACGGUACCUGCAGAAGAAGCACCGGCUAACUACGUG